AGCAGCCGCGGUAAUUCCAGCUCCAAUAGCGUAUAUUAAAGUUGUUGCAGUUAAAAAGCUCGUAGUUGAAUUUCGGGGUUAGUAGGUUGGUCAUGCCUCAGGUAUGCACUGGUCUCACUGAUUCCUCCUUCCUGAUGAGCCGUAAUGCCAUUAAUUUGGUGUUGCGGGGAAUCUGGACUGUUACUUUGAAAAAAUUAGAGUGUUUAAAGCAGGCUAACGCUUGAAUACAUUAGCAUGGAAUAAUGGAAUAGGACGUUCGAUCCUAUUUUGUUGGUUUCUAGGAUUGACGUAAUGAUUAAUAGGGAUAGUUGGGGGCAUUAGUAUUCAAUUGUCAGAGGUGAAAUUCUUGGAUUUAUUGAAGACUAACUACUGCGAAAGCAUUUGCCAAGGAUGUUUUCAUUAAUCAAGAACGAAAGUUAGGGGAUCGAAGACGAUCAGAUACCGUCGUAGUCUUAACCAUAAACUAUGCCGACUAGGGAUCGGAUGAUGUUAAUUUUUUAAUGACUCAUUCGGCGCCUUACG
Molecule: ribosomal RNA, 522 nt
Filed under: uncultured Glomus
Lineage: Eukaryota; Fungi; Glomeromycota; Glomeromycetes; Glomerales; Glomeraceae
Description: SSU rRNA
Rfam family: Eukaryotic small subunit ribosomal RNA
Source: RNAcentral